UGGGGAAUUUUGGACAAUGGGGGAAACCCUGAUCCAGCCAUCCCGCGUGUGCGAUGAAGGCCUUCGGGUUGUAAAGCACUUUUGGCAGGAAAGAAACGUCAUGGGUUAAUACCCCGUGAAACUGACGGUACCUGCAGAAUAAGCACCGGCUAACUACGUGCCAGCAGCCGCGGUAAUACGUAGGGUGCAAGCGUUAAGCGGAAUUACUGGGCGUAAAGCGUGCGCAGGCGGUUCGGAAAGAAAGAUGUGAAAUCCCAGAGCUCAACUUUGGAACUGCAUUUUUAACUGCCGGGCUAGAGUGUGUCAGGGGGAGGUGGAAUUCCGCGUGUGGCAGUGAAAUGCGUAGAUAUGCGGAGGAACACAGAUGGCGAAGGCAGCCUCCUGGGAUAACACUGACGCUCAUGCACGAAAGCGUGGGGAGCAAACAGG
RNAcentral lists this ribosomal RNA (429 nucleotides) under Acidobacteriota bacterium. RNAcentral describes it as "Acidobacteria bacterium partial 16S ribosomal RNA". It matches the Rfam family "Bacterial small subunit ribosomal RNA", at positions 355 to 776 of the family's 1533-position model. The record is from RNAcentral. Lineage: Bacteria; Pseudomonadati; Acidobacteriota.